RNAcentral lists this unclassified non-coding RNA (162 nucleotides) under uncultured Helotiales. Its description in RNAcentral is "sequence contains ITS1". Lineage: Eukaryota; Fungi; Ascomycota; Leotiomycetes; Helotiales. The record is from RNAcentral.
CAGAGAAAUUGCCCUUUGGGGUAGAUCUCCCACCCUAUGUUUACAUUACCUUUGUUGCUUUGGCAGGCCCGUCUUUUGACCACUGGCUUCGGCUGGUCAGUGUCUGCCAGAGGACCCCUAAACUCUUGAUAUUUUGUUGUCUGAGUAAAUACAUAAUAUUUA